AAGGGACUCGAAUGGAAUGGAAUGAACUUGACUGCAAUAGAAUGGAAAGGACUCUAAUGCAAUGGAAUGGACUUGAAUGGAAUGGAAUGGACUUGAAUGGAAUGGAAUGGAGCCGAAUGGAAUGGAAUGGAAUGGAAUGGAAUGGAAUGGAAUGGAAUGGAAUGGAAAGGAAUGGAAUGGAAAGGAAGGGAAUGGAAUGGAAUUGACUCGAAUAAAAUGGAAUGGAAUGGACUCGAAUGGAAUGGAAUGGACAAGAAUGGAAAGGAAUGCAAUGGACUCGAAUGGAAUGGAAUGGAAUGGAAUGGA
RNAcentral lists this long non-coding RNA (306 nucleotides) under Homo sapiens (human). RNAcentral's name for it is "non-protein coding lnc-DEFB115-2:1". Lineage: Eukaryota; Metazoa; Chordata; Mammalia; Primates; Hominidae. The record is from RNAcentral.